This 496-nucleotide ribosomal RNA is filed under the name uncultured bacterium. RNAcentral describes it as "partial 16S ribosomal RNA". It matches the Rfam family "Bacterial small subunit ribosomal RNA", at positions 28 to 506 of the family's 1533-position model. The record is from RNAcentral.
GAUGAACGCUGGCGGCGUGCCUAAUACAUGCAAGUCGAGCGAACAGAUAAGGAGCUUGCUCCUUUGACGUUAGCGGCGGACGGGUGAGUAACACGUGGGUAACCUACCUAUAAGACUGGAAUAACUCCGGGAAACCGGGGCUAAUGCCGGAUAACAUUUAGAACCGCAUGGUUCUAAAGUGAAAGAUGGUUUUGCUAUCACUUAUAGAUGGACCCGCGCCGUAUUAGCUAGUUGGUAAGGUAACGGCUUACCAAGGCAACGAUACUUAGCCGACCUGAGGGGGGGAUCGGCCCAACGGGACAUGAGAACCGGUCCCGCCUCCUACGGGGGGCAGAAGUGGGGAAUCUUCCGAAAUGGGCGAAAGCCUGAGGGAGCAACGCCGCGGGAGUGAUGAAGGUUUUCGGAUCGUAAAACUCUGUUAUGAGGGAAAAACAAAUGUGUAAGUAACUGUGCACGUUUUGACGGUACCUAAUCAGAAAGCCACGGCUAACUACGU